This 256-nucleotide ribosomal RNA is filed under the name Salmonella enterica subsp. enterica serovar Typhimurium. RNAcentral's name for it is "partial 23S ribosomal RNA". It matches the Rfam family "Bacterial large subunit ribosomal RNA", at positions 1160 to 1330 of the family's 2925-position model. The record is from RNAcentral. Lineage: Bacteria; Pseudomonadati; Pseudomonadota; Gammaproteobacteria; Enterobacterales; Enterobacteriaceae.
UGCGCGGAAGAUGUAACGGGGCUAAACCAUGCACCGAAGCUGCGGCAGCGAACGUAUCACCCAAGACAACUUUACGGAGUUGACGAUUGACGGAGCGAAGCGACGUCAAAGCGUUCAUUAAAGUCGAGUUGGCUUAGGGAUACGUUCGUUGGGUAGGGGAGCGUUCUGUAAGCCUGUGAAGGUGUGUCGUGAGGCAUGCUGGAGGUAUCAGAAGUGCGAAUGCUGACAUAAGUAACGAUAAAGCGGGUGAAAAGCC